CCUACGGGGAGCAGCAGUGAGGAAUAUUGGUCAAUGGACGGAAGUCUGAACCAGCCAUGUCGCGUGCAGGAAGACGGCUCUAUGAGUUGUAAACUGCUUUUGUACAAGGGUAAACCUGAAUACGUGUAUUCUGCUGAAAGUACUGUACGAAUAAGGAUCGGCUAACUCCGUGCCAGCAGCCGCGGUAAUACGGAGGAUCUAAGCGUUAUCCGGAUUUAUUGGGUUUAAAGGGUGCGUAGGCGGAUGGAUAAGUUAGAGGUGAAAUGUUCGAGCUUAACUCGGGAACUGCCUCUAAUACUGUCGGUCUAGAGAACAGAUGCGGUAGGCGGAAUGUAUGGUGUAGCGGUGAAAUGCUUAGAUAUCAUACAGAACACCGAUUGCGAAGGCAGCUUACCAAUCUAUCUCUGACGUUGAGGCACGAAAGCGUGGGGAGCAAACAGGAUUAGAUACCCGAGUAGUC
Molecule: ribosomal RNA, 460 nt
Filed under: uncultured bacterium
Lineage: Bacteria
Description: partial 16S ribosomal RNA
Rfam family: Bacterial small subunit ribosomal RNA
Source: RNAcentral